RNAcentral lists this ribosomal RNA (829 nucleotides) under Amycolatopsis sp. MS-13. RNAcentral's name for it is "partial 16S ribosomal RNA". It matches the Rfam family "Bacterial small subunit ribosomal RNA", at positions 622 to 1445 of the family's 1533-position model. The record is from RNAcentral. Lineage: Bacteria; Bacillati; Actinomycetota; Actinomycetes; Pseudonocardiales; Pseudonocardiaceae.
GCGGGGCGANACGGGCAGACNUUGANUUUCGGUAGGGGAGACUGNNNUUCCUGGUGUAGCGGUGAAAUGCGCAGAUAUCAGGAGGAACNCCNGGUGGNGAAGGCGGGUNUNUGGGCCCGAUACUGACGCUGAGGANCGAAAGCGUGGGGAGCGANCAGGAUUAGAUACCCUGGUAGUCCNNNCNGUAAACGUUGGGCGCUAGGUGUGGGCGACAUCCACGUUGUCCGUGCCGUAGCUAACGCAUUAAGCGCCCCGCCUGGGGAGUACGGCCGCAAGGNUAAAACUCAAAGGAAUNGACGGGGGCCCGCACAAGCGNNNGAGCAUGUGGAUUAAUUCGAUGCAACGCGAAGAACCUUACCUGGGCUUGACAUGCGCCAGACAUCCCUAGAGAUAGGGCUUCCCUUGUGGUUGGUGUACAGGUGGUGCAUGGCUGUCGUCAGCUCGUGUCGUGAGAUGUUGGGUUAAGUCCCGCAACGAGCGCAACCCUUAUCCUACGUUGCCAGCGCGUCAUGGCGGGGACUCGUGGGAGACUGCCGGGGUCAACUCGGAGGAAGGUGGGGAUGACGUCAAGUCAUCAUGCCCCUUAUGUCCAGGGCUUCACACAUGCUACAAUGGCUGGUACAGAGGGCUGCGAUACCGCGAGGUGGAGCGAAUCCCUUAAAGCCGGUCUCAGUUCGGAUCGCAGUCUGCAACUCGACUGCGUGAAGUCGGAGUCGCUAGUAAUCGCAGAUCAGCAACGCUGCGGUGAAUACGUUCCCGGGCCUUGUACACACCGCCCGUCACGUCANGAAAGUCGGUAACACCCGAAGCCCAUGUCCCAACCCGCAAG